RNAcentral lists this ribosomal RNA (777 nucleotides) under uncultured Alteromonadaceae bacterium. Its description in RNAcentral is "bacterial SSU rRNA". It matches the Rfam family "Bacterial small subunit ribosomal RNA", at positions 382 to 1153 of the family's 1533-position model. The record is from RNAcentral. Lineage: Bacteria; Pseudomonadati; Pseudomonadota; Gammaproteobacteria; Alteromonadales; Alteromonadaceae.
CCUGAUGCAGCCAUGCCGCGUGUGUGAAGAAGGCCUUCGGGUUGUAAAGCACUUUCAGUUGUGAGGAAAAGUUAGUAGUUAAUACCUGCUAGCCGUGACGUUAACAACAGAAGAAGCACCGGCUAACUCCGUGCCAGCAGCCGCGGUAAUACGGAGGGUGCGAGCGUUAAUCGGAAUUACUGGGCGUAAAGCGCACGCAGGCGGUUUGUUAAGCUAGAUGUGAAAGCCCCGGGCUCAACCUGGGAUGGUCAUUUAGAACUGGCAGACUAGAGUCUUGGAGAGGGGAGUGGAACUCCAGGUGUAGCGGUGAAAUGCGUAGAUAUCUGGAGGAACAUCAGUGGCGAAGGCGACUCCCUGGCCAAAGACUGACGCUCAUGUGCGAAAGUGCGGGUAGCGAACAGGAUUAGAUACCCUGGUAGUCCACACCGUAAACGCUGUCUACUAGCUGUUUGUGGCUUUAAGCCGUGAGUAGCGAAGCUAACGCGCUAAGUAGACCGCCUGGGGAGUACGGCCGCAAGGCUAAAACUCAAAUGAAUUGACGGGGGCCCGCACAAGCGGUGGAGCAUGUGGUUUAAUUCGAUGCAACGCGAAGAACCUUACCUACACUUGACAUGCAGAGAACUUUCCAGAGAUGGAUUGGUGCCUUCGGGAACUCUGACACAGGUGCUGCAUGGCUGUCGUCAGCUCGUGUCGUGAGAUGUUGGGUUAAGUCCCGCAACGAGCGCAACCCUUGUCCUUAGUUGCCAGCAUUCAGUUGGGCACUCUAAGGAGACUGCC